GGACCCGCACAAGCGGUGGAGCAUGUGGUUUAAUUCGAAGCAACGCGAAAACCUUACCAGGACUUGACAUCCUUUUGACCGGUCUUGUAAUGAGACUUUCUCUUCGGAGCAGAAGUGACAGGUGGUGCAUGGUCGUCGUCAGCUCGUGUCGUGAGAUGUUGGGUUAAGUCCCGCAACGAGCCAACCCUUAUUAUUAGUUGCCAGCAUUCAGUUGGGCACUCUAAUGAGACUGCCGGUGAUAAACCGGAGGAAGGUGGGGACGACGUCAGAUCAUCAUGCCCCUUAUGUCCUGGGCUACACACGUGCUACAAUGGGAAAUACAACGAGUCGCUAGCCCGCGAGGGUACGCUAAUCUCUUAAAGUUUCUCUCAGUUCGGAUUGCACUCUGCAACUCGAGUGCAUGAAGUCGGAAUCGCUAGUAAUCGCGAAUCAGCAUGUCG
Molecule: ribosomal RNA, 440 nt
Filed under: uncultured Bacillota bacterium
Lineage: Bacteria; Bacillati; Bacillota
Description: bacterial SSU rRNA
Rfam family: Bacterial small subunit ribosomal RNA
Source: RNAcentral